GAUGAAGAACGUAGCGAAAUGCGAUAAGUAAUGUGAAUUGCAGAAUUCAGUGAAUCAUCGAAUCUUUGAACGCACAUUGCGCCCCUUGGUGUUCCGGGGGGCAUGCCUGUUCGAGCGUCAUUUCAACCCUCAAGCUCUGCUUGGUAUUGGGCACCGUCCUUUGCGGGCGCGCCUCAAAGACCUCGGCGGUGGCGUCUUGCCUCAAGCGUAGUAGAAUACACCUCGCUUCGGAGCGUAAGGCGUCGCCCGCCGGACGAACCUUCUGAACUUUUCUCAAGGUUGACCUCGGAUCAGGUAGGGAUACCCGCUGAACUUAAGCAUAUCAAUAAGCGGAGGA
This 337-nucleotide unclassified non-coding RNA is filed under the name soil metagenome. RNAcentral describes it as "partial contains 5.8S ribosomal RNA, internal transcribed spacer 2, and large subunit ribosomal RNA". The stretch from base 1 to 120 matches the Rfam family "5.8S ribosomal RNA", at positions 35 to 154 of the family's 154-position model. The record is from RNAcentral.